This 86-nucleotide unclassified non-coding RNA is filed under the name Pseudomonas sp. NFACC42-2. The record is from RNAcentral. Lineage: Bacteria; Pseudomonadati; Pseudomonadota; Gammaproteobacteria; Pseudomonadales; Pseudomonadaceae.
GUGGGAGGGGGCUUGCCCCCGAUAGCGGUGGGUCAGCCAGUUCAAUAGUUGCUGACACACCGCAUCGGGGGCAAGCCCCCUCCCAC